GGGCCCUGUGUGCUAGGAAAUAAACAGCUUUCUGUGGGCUGCUGGCUUUUGCUUUCUCGCUUUCACUGUGUUUGCUGAGCCCGAGCCCAAGCCCAUCCUCUCAGUGAACAGGCUCCAAGCGGACACUCGUCGGGAAAGAAGUCGCAUUCCUGGGGGACCCAAGCACUUGGCCCAUCUUCAACUGCUUUCCCAGGCCGUAGGCAGAGAGCUGGCUCAGAAGAGGAGCAGCCAGGACAGGAACCAGCACCCAUAUGGGAUGCCGGUGCCACACGUGAGGCUUUGCUUACUACACCACGGUGAGAGGCACACAUUUCAAGCACAGAAAUACCUGCAGAUCAGCCUGGAUGAUGUGAUGGCAUGUCAUCAAUUUCCUGCUGGGACCACACUGAGGAACCAGUCCAUCUCCACCAGCUCCAGUGCCUCAUCUGAUUUGCAGAACACUCUAACGUGGAGAAGAGGGUUAUAGGUUUUGGCAUUCUUGGGAAAUACUCAGCCUCCUAGGAUAGAGCAUCCUCCUCCAGAAACUGCAUUACGCUGUUUAACAUUCCAGCUGCAAUGUUGCAGAAACCAUAUAUCCUGUAAACCCCAGUCAGCCAGGUGUCCUCCCAACUAUUCCUAAUAAAGAAGUCUUGCCAACAUAAUAAUAGAGUUUCAUGUUGCGGCAACACUGCUUGUUUUAUUCAAUGGCUCCAAGCCUGCAGAGAAAUGGGCUUUCUCAAGCUUAAUUAGGCCAACAUUUGGCAAGAAGCACCUCAAUAUGUAGAAACCUCUUCCCCAGCAAUGGGCAAUGAAAUCGUCUCUCCAUGUACAUUCUGGAACACUCCACCAGAAUAAAGUUCCAGCGAGGCUUAUUAUCCAUAAGCUUCCAUUUAUCACUACAGAUCGCAAAAUUCACCUUGAGCCUCUGAAGAGAAGAGAGACAGAUUCCUUGCAUUUCAGAAUGAAAAAUGUAUACUUGGGCUUUGGUGAGUGAGGCAGCAAUAUUAUUACUAACAGAUUCAUCACAGGGUUGGCAAGAACUGUAACCCACUACACAGCUCUCAGGCUCACCUGGCACAUCUUCCAGAUACCCUUCCUUGCCUUUCAUAUUUGUUGAAUAAAUUGAAAAUAAUAAAACUUUGUGCCACUGAGUUGGGGUUCUUCAGAGAAACAACGCAACAGGAUGUGUGUGGAUGUGUGUCUCUGUGUGUGUAUGUGUGUGUG
Molecule: non-coding RNA, 1203 nt
Organism: Oryctolagus cuniculus (rabbit)
Lineage: Eukaryota; Metazoa; Chordata; Mammalia; Lagomorpha; Leporidae
Source: RefSeq, a predicted model, not a curated record